UAUAUACUCCCUCUGUUUGAAAAUACUUGUCCUAAAAAGAAUGAAUAUAAUGAAUUUAUCUAUUAUUAAAAUAAGUCUAGAUACAUUAAUUUCUAGAACAAGUAUUUCCGGACGGAGGGAGUAUAUC
This is a non-coding RNA of Hordeum vulgare subsp. vulgare (domesticated barley), 127 nucleotides long. Lineage: Eukaryota; Viridiplantae; Streptophyta; Magnoliopsida; Poales; Poaceae. The record is from Rfam.